AACGCUGGCGGCGUGCCUAACACAUGCAAGUCGAGCGAGGAGAGUUCCUUCGGGAACAAACCUAGCGGCGGACGGGUGAGUAACACGUGGGCAACCUGCCUUGUAGAGGGAAUAGCCUUCCGAAAAGGAAGAUUAAUACCGCAUAACAUUACAGUUUCGCAUGAAACAGUAAUUAAAGGAGUAAUCCGCUACAAGAUGGGCCCGCGGCGCAUUAGCUAGUUGGUGAGGUAACGGCUCACCAAGGCGACGAUGCGUAGCCGACCUGAGAGGGUGAUCGGCCACAUUGGGACUGAGACACGGCCCAGACUCCUACGGGAGGCAGCAGUGGGGAAUAUUGCACAAUGGGGGAAACCCUGAUGCAGCAACGCCGCGUGAGUGAUGAAGGUUUUCGGAUCGUAAAGCUCUGUCUUCGGGGACGAUAAUGACGGUACCCGAGGAGGAAGCCACGGCUAACUACGUG
Molecule: ribosomal RNA, 460 nt
Filed under: uncultured bacterium
Lineage: Bacteria
Description: bacterial SSU rRNA
Rfam family: Bacterial small subunit ribosomal RNA
Source: RNAcentral